This 199-nucleotide ribosomal RNA is filed under the name uncultured bacterium. Its description in RNAcentral is "partial 16S ribosomal RNA". It matches the Rfam family "Bacterial small subunit ribosomal RNA", at positions 1302 to 1500 of the family's 1533-position model. The record is from RNAcentral.
AGCCUGCAACUCGGCUGCAUGAAGCUGGAAUCGCUAGUAAUCGCGGAUCAGAAUGCCGCGGUGAAUACGUUCCCGGGUCUUGUACACACCGCCCGUCACACCAUGGGAGUAGGUAAUGCCCGAAGUCGGUGACCUAACCGGAAGGAAGGAGCCGCCGAAGGCAGGACUUAUAACUGGGGUGAAGUCGUAACAAGGUAUC